This is a long non-coding RNA of Mus musculus (house mouse), 984 nucleotides long. RefSeq annotates it as predicted gene, 31772. The record is from RefSeq and is a predicted model, not a curated record. The transcript has 4 exons. NCBI's taxonomy places the organism in Eukaryota, Metazoa, Chordata, Mammalia, Rodentia, Muridae.
AAAUUGCCCUGAGGAUUCUGGGAUGCAAAGGAGGAGGGGUCUAUGAAAUAUCUUACCUGAACGAACAAACAUGGAGGAGAGAGUGAAAGACACUUCUCAUCCCUUCUCCAUCAGUUUGCCAGCUGCUCUGCCUAAUGGCCAGCCUGCUGAGGCGCACAGUGGAGACUGUGUGCAUAAGUGAAGAGUCAGGAAAGGAUCCUCCAGGAGCUGUGGUUCCUCCUACAACAGCUGGACCCACAUCCUCAAGCACACUACAGAUGCUCAGGGUUGGCUCCUCAAGUUGCAUUUCCCCCUACGGGGUCACACAUCAGUUAGCCAUCUAUCAGGAAAUGUCAAGUUAGCCUUGUUCCUUUAAAGCCUCUUACCUGUGCCUGAGGCCAAGAAGACUAACUCCAGGAAUGGGGCAGUGGGAGAAAUGGUUCAGCAAUCAAGAGUGCUUGCUGCACUUCAGACUGCCUGAAUCCCAUCCCGGCACCCAUGUCAGAUGGCUCUCAAUUGCCUGAAACCUCAGCUGCAUGGGGGUCCUAUGCUCUUUUAUGGCCGCCUUUGGGCACCCAAACACAUAUGCCAGAAACGUGGACACAUACAGGCAGAUUUCCAACAAGAGUUGAUCCUGCCUGGAGCCAAAUAAGCCCACCCACCCCUCAGCUGUGCUGGAAAUGGGAAGCCAUCUAUCUGCUAGAACACACUUGCAGAAGGCAGCGAGGCAUCUAGUGCUCCAGGGCUUUGGACUGUCCACAAGGAACCAAACAAGCCAACCCAUGUUGGACCUGGGCAAAUAGAAUUCAGCUUCUCAGUUGAGCCUCCAGAAUCAACAUCAGUCCGGGAAGCGCCUGGAAUCUGGCCUACUAACGCCUCCAAGCCGUAGACCUUGAACAGGAUCUGUUCUGUUCUUGCCUGUAUUCAUGGGGGUUACUGAGGGUAGCUACAAGGAAUAUAAAUGUUUUGUGGCAGUGUUCUAUUACUAUUCUAUUAUGCAAACAC